This 460-nucleotide ribosomal RNA is filed under the name uncultured bacterium. RNAcentral's name for it is "partial 16S ribosomal RNA". It matches the Rfam family "Bacterial small subunit ribosomal RNA", at positions 338 to 795 of the family's 1533-position model. The record is from RNAcentral.
CCUACGGGUGGCAGCAGUGAGGAAUAUUGGUCAAUGGACGGAAGUCUGAACCAGCCAUGCCGCGUGCAGGAAGACGGCUCUAUGAGUUGUAAACUGCUUUUGUACAAGGGUAAACCUGAAUACGUGUAUUCUUCUGUAUGUACUUUACGAAUAAGGAUCGGCUAACUCCGUGCCAGCAGCCGCGGUAAUACGGAGGAUCCAAGCGUUAUCCGGAUUUAUUGGGUUUAAAGGGUGCGUAGGGGGAUUGUUAAGUCAGUGGUGAAAGGUUGGGGCUUAACUGGGGAAUUGCAUUUAAUACUGGUGGUCUAGAGAGUAGAUGCGGUAGGCGGAAUGUAUGGUGUAGCGGUGAAAUGCUUAGAGAUCAUACAGAACACCGAUUGCGAAGGCAGCUUACCAAGCUAUAUCUGACGUUGAGGCACGAAAGCGUGGGGAGCAAACAGGAUUAGAUACCCCAGUAGUC